GCUGGAUGUGGUGGCGCACAUCUGUAAUCCAGCACUUUGGGAGGCCGAGGUGGGCGGAUCACCUGAGGUCAGGAGUUCGAGACCAGCCUGGCCAACAUGGUGAAACCCCAUCUCUA
RNAcentral lists this signal recognition particle RNA (116 nucleotides) under Pan paniscus (pygmy chimpanzee). Its description in RNAcentral is "Metazoan signal recognition particle RNA". It matches the Rfam family "Metazoan signal recognition particle RNA". Rfam says of the family: The signal recognition particle (SRP) is a universally conserved ribonucleoprotein. It is involved in the co-translational targeting of proteins to membranes. Lineage: Eukaryota; Metazoa; Chordata; Mammalia; Primates; Hominidae. The record is from Rfam by way of RNAcentral. RNAcentral also lists the same sequence under 1 other name.